This 85-nucleotide transfer RNA is filed under the name Truepera radiovictrix. RNAcentral describes it as "tRNA-Leu". It matches the Rfam family "tRNA". Rfam says of the family: Transfer RNA (tRNA) molecules are approximately 80 nucleotides in length. Their secondary structure includes four short double-helical elements and three loops (D, anti-codon, and T loops). The record is from RNAcentral. Lineage: Bacteria; Thermotogati; Deinococcota; Deinococci; Trueperales; Trueperaceae. RNAcentral also lists the same sequence under 1 other name.
GCCGGGAUGGCGGAAUUGGUAGACGCAGUAGACUCAAAAUCUACCGGCUUCGGCUGUGCGGGUUCGAGUCCCGCUCCCGGCACCA